Small nuclear RNA from Ochotona princeps (American pika), 166 nucleotides. RefSeq annotates it as U1 spliceosomal RNA. Lineage: Eukaryota; Metazoa; Chordata; Mammalia; Lagomorpha; Ochotonidae. The record is from RefSeq and is a predicted model, not a curated record. The transcript has a single exon.
AUAUUUACAUGGCAGGGGAGAUACCAUGAUCUUGAAGGUGGUUUUCCCAGGGCGAGGCUCACCCACUGCCCUCCAGAUGUACUGAUCCCUGCAUUCUCCCCAAAUGUGGGAACCUCGACUGCAUUUGUGUUCUUCCCUGUAAAAGUUAUAACAGUAAUAACAGGAC